Molecule: ribosomal RNA, 498 nt
Filed under: uncultured bacterium
Lineage: Bacteria
Description: partial 16S ribosomal RNA
Rfam family: Bacterial small subunit ribosomal RNA
Source: RNAcentral
AUUGAACGCUGGCGGCAUGCUUUACACAUGCAAGUCGAACGGCAGCGCGGGGCAACCUGGCGGCGAGUGGCGAACGGGUGAGUAAUACAUCGGAACGUACCCAGAAGUGGGGGAUAACGUAGAGAAAGUUACGCUAAUACCGCAUACGUUCUACGGAAGAAAGUGGGGGAUCUUCGGACCUUAUGCUUUUGGAGCGGCUGAUGUCUGAUUAGCUAGUUGGUGAGGUAAAGGCUCACCAAGGCGACGAUAAGUAGCUGGUCUGAGAGGACGACCAGCCACACUGGGACUGAGGCACGGGCCAGACGCCUACGGGAGGCAGCAGUGGGGAAUUUCGGACAAUGGGCGCAAGCCUGAUCCAGCAAUGCCGCGUGAGGGAAGAAGGCAUUCUGGUUGUAAAUCUGUUUUGUCAGGGAAGAAACGGCUGGGGGUAAUACCUCUGGCUAAUGACGGUACCUUAAGAAUAAGCACCGGCUAACUACGUGCCAGCCGCCGCGGUAA